This 406-nucleotide ribosomal RNA is filed under the name uncultured bacterium. Its description in RNAcentral is "partial 16S ribosomal RNA". It matches the Rfam family "Bacterial small subunit ribosomal RNA", at positions 30 to 526 of the family's 1533-position model. The record is from RNAcentral.
AUUGAACGCUGGCGGCAGGCCUAACACAUGCAAGUCGAGCGCGCGGCGGACGGGUGCGUAAUGUCUGGGAACCUGCCUGUUGUAGGGGGAUAACUACUGGAAACGGUAUCUAAUACCGCAUACCCUCAGCUGUUCCCCGAUGGGAUUAGCGAGUAGGUGGGGUAACGGCUCACCUAGGCGACGAUCCCUAGCUGGUGUGAGAGGUUUACCAGCCACACUGGAACGGAGACACGGUCCAGACUCCUACGGGAGGCAGCAGUGGGGAAUAUUGCACAAUGGGCGCAAGCCUGAUGCAGCCAUGCCGCGUGUGUGAAGAAGGCCUUCGGGUUGGAAAGUACUUUCAGCGGGGAGGCGUUACCCGCAGAAGAAGCACCGGCUAACUCCGUGCCAGCAGCCGCGGUAAUAC